Molecule: ribosomal RNA, 200 nt
Filed under: uncultured bacterium
Lineage: Bacteria
Description: partial 16S ribosomal RNA
Rfam family: Bacterial small subunit ribosomal RNA
Source: RNAcentral
AGAGUUUGAUCCUGGCUCAGGAUAAACGCUGGCGGCGUGCCUAACACAUGCAAGUCGAACGCGCUCGGGGAAACCCGAGCGAGUGGCGGACGGGUGAGGAACACGUGGGUCAUCUACCUUGAGGUGAGGAAUACCGGCGAGAAAUCGCCGACAAUACCGCAUAGGUUUGGAAACAAACAAAGUCGCAAGACGCCCCAAGA